RNAcentral lists this ribosomal RNA (468 nucleotides) under uncultured bacterium. Its description in RNAcentral is "partial 16S ribosomal RNA". It matches the Rfam family "Bacterial small subunit ribosomal RNA", at positions 28 to 507 of the family's 1533-position model. The record is from RNAcentral.
GACGAACGCUGGCGGCGUGCUUAACACAUGCAAGUCGAACGGAAAGGCCCUGCUUUUGUGGGGUGCUCGAGUGGCGAACGGGUGAGUAACACGUGAGUAACCUGCCCUUGACUUUGGGAUAACUUCAGGAAACUGGGGCUAAUACCGGAUAGGAGCUCCUGCUGCAUGGUGGGGGUUGGAAAGUUACGGCGGUUGGGGAUGGACUCGCGGCUUAUCAGCUUGUUGGUGGGGUAGUGGCUUACCAAGGCUUUGACGGGUAGCCGGCCUGAGAGGGGGACCGGCCACAUGGGGACUGAGAUACGGCCCAGUCUCCUACGGGAGGCAGCAGUGGGGAAUAUUGCACAGUGGGCGGAAGCGUGAGGCAGCAGCGCCGCGUGCGGGAUGACGGCCUUCGGGUUGUAAACCGCUUUCGCCUGUGACGAAGCGUGAGUGACGGUAAUGGGUAAAGAAGCACCGGCUAACUACGUG